Small nuclear RNA from Pipistrellus kuhlii (Kuhl's pipistrelle), 108 nucleotides. The record is from RefSeq and is a predicted model, not a curated record. NCBI's taxonomy places the organism in Eukaryota, Metazoa, Chordata, Mammalia, Chiroptera, Vespertilionidae.
GUGCUAGCUUUGGCAGCACAUAUACUAAAAUUGGAAUGAUACAGAGAAGAUUAGCAUGGCCACUGUGCAAGGAUGACACGCAAAAAACGAAGAAAAAGAUAUGUUAUU